This 119-nucleotide ribosomal RNA is filed under the name Nicotiana attenuata. The record is from RNAcentral. Lineage: Eukaryota; Viridiplantae; Streptophyta; Magnoliopsida; Solanales; Solanaceae.
GGAUGCGAUCAUACCAGCACUAACGCACCGGAUCCCAUCAGAACUCCGAAGCUAAGCGUGCUUGGGCGAGAGUAGUACUAGGAUGGGUGACCCCCUGGGAAGUCCUCGUGUUGCAUCCC